GAUAAACGCUGGCGGCGUGCCUAAUACAUGCAAGUCGAGCGAACGGACGAGAAGCUUGCUUCUCUGAUGUUAGCGGCGGACGGGUGAGUAACACGUGGAUAACCUACCUAUAAGACUGGGAUAACUUCGGGAAACCGGAGCUAAUACCGGAUAAUAUUUUGAACCGCAUGGUUCAAAAGUGAAAGACGGUCUUGCUGUCACUUAUAGAUGGAUCCGCGCUGCAUUAGCUAGUUGGUAAGGUAACGGCUUACCAGGGCAACGAUGCAUAGCCGACCUGAGAGGGUGAUCGGCCACACUGGAACUGAGACACGGUCCAGACUCCUACGGGAGGCAGCAGUAGGGAAUCUUCCGCAAUGGGCGAAAGCCUGACGGAGCAACGCCGCGUGAGUGAUGAAGGUCUUCGGAUCGUAAAACUCUGUUAUUAGGGAAGAACAUAUGUGUAAGUAACUGUGCACAUCUUGACGGUACCUAAUCAGAAAGCCACGGCUAACUACGUGCCAGCAGCCGCGGUAAUACGUAGGUGGCAAGCGUUAUCCGGAAUUAUUGGGCGUAAAGCGCGCGUAGGCGGUUUUUUAAGUCUGAUGUGAAAGCCCACGGCUCAACCGUGGAGGGUCAUUGGAAACUGGAAAACUUGAGUGCAGAAGAGGAAAGUGGAAUUCCAUGUGUAGCGGUGAAAUGCGCAGAGAUAUGGAGGAACACCAGUGGCGAAGGCGACUUUCUGGUCUGUAACUGACGCUGAUGUGCGAAAGCGUGGGGAUCAAACAGGAUUAGAUACCCUGGUAGUCCACGCCGUAAACGAUGAGUGCUAAGUGUUAGGGGGUUUCCGCCCCUUAGUGCUGCAGCUAACGCAUUAAGCACUCCGCCUGGGGAGUACGACCGCAAGGUUGAAACUCAAAGGAAUUGACGGGGACCCGCACAAGCGGUGGAGCAUGUGGUUUAAUUCGAAGCAACGCGAAGAACCUUACCAAAUCUUGACAUCCUUUGACAACUCUAGAGAUAGAGCCUUCCCCUUCGGGGGACAAAGUGACAGGUGGUGCAUGGUUGUCGUCAGCUCGUGUCGUGAGAUGUUGGGUUAAGUCCCGCAACGAGCGCAACCCUUAAGCUUAGUUGCCAUCAUUAAGUUGGGCACUCUAAGUUGACUGCCGGUGACAAACCGGAGGAAGGUGGGGAUGACGUCAAAUCAUCAUGCCCCUUAUGAUUUGGGCUACACACGUGCUACAAUGGACAAUACAAAGGGCAGCGAAACCGCGAGGUCAAGCAAAUCCCAUAAAGUUGUUCUCAGUUCGGAUUGUAGUCUGCAACUCGACUACAUGAAGCUGGAAUCGCUAGUAAUCGUAGAUCAGCAUGCUACGGUGAAUACGUUCCCGGGUCU
Molecule: ribosomal RNA, 1372 nt
Filed under: uncultured bacterium
Lineage: Bacteria
Description: bacterial SSU rRNA
Rfam family: Bacterial small subunit ribosomal RNA
Source: RNAcentral